Molecule: ribosomal RNA, 253 nt
Filed under: uncultured bacterium
Lineage: Bacteria
Description: partial 16S ribosomal RNA
Rfam family: Bacterial small subunit ribosomal RNA
Source: RNAcentral
UACGUAGGUUGCGAGCGUUGUCCGGAUUUACUGGGCGUAAAGCGCGCGCAGGCGGCUUCGAAAGUCCACGGUGAAAGCUCCCGGCUCAACUGGGAGAGGCCCGUGGAGACUCCGGAGCUUGAAGGCAGGAGAGGCAGAUGGAAUUUCCGGUGUAGCGGUAAAAUGCGUAGAUAUCGGAAGGAACACCAGUGGCGAAGGCGAUCUGCUGGCCUGUUCUUGACGCUCAGGCGCGAAAGCUAGGGGAGCGACCGGG